This 70-nucleotide transfer RNA is filed under the name Bipes biporus. Its description in RNAcentral is "tRNA-His". The record is from RNAcentral. Lineage: Eukaryota; Metazoa; Chordata; Lepidosauria; Squamata; Bipedidae.
GUACACAUAGUUUAACACAAAACACCAGCCUGUGGGCCUGGAGAUCGAGGACAAAGCCCUCUUGUGCACC